This 589-nucleotide ribosomal RNA is filed under the name uncultured bacterium. RNAcentral's name for it is "bacterial SSU rRNA". It matches the Rfam family "Bacterial small subunit ribosomal RNA", at positions 790 to 1368 of the family's 1533-position model. The record is from RNAcentral.
GUAGUCCUAGCCGUAAACGGUGCACGUUUGCUGUAAGAGGAAUCGACCCCUUUUGUGGCGAAGCUAACGCGUUAAACGUGCCGCCUGGGAAGUACGGUCGCAAGAUUAAAACUCAAAGAAAUUGACGGGGGCCUGCACAAGCGGUGGAGUAUGUGGCUCAAUUCGAUGCAACGCGAAGAACCUUACCUGGCCUUGACAUGUACGUAGUAGAAGGGUGAAAGCCUGACGAGGUAGCAAUACCAGCGUACACAGGUGCUGCAUGGCUGUCGUCAGCUCGUGUCGUGAGAUGUUGGGUUAAGUCCCGCAACGAGCGCAACCCUUGCGUCCUGUUGCCACUCCUGCGAGAGCGGGAAGCACUCUGGACGGACUGCCUCAUUUAAAUGAGGAGGAAGGUGGGGAUGACGUCAAGUCAGUAUGGCCCUUACGGCCAGGGCUGCACACGCACUACAAUGCCCGGCACAGAGGGAAGCGAGACCGUCAGGUGGAGCAAAUCCCAGAAAACCGGGCCCAGUUCAGAUUGUCGUCUGCAACUCGACGGCAUGAAGCUGGAAUCGCUAGUAAUGGCGCAUCAGCUACGGCGCCGUGAAUA